Paramisgurnus dabryanus is the source of this 2232-nucleotide long non-coding RNA. RefSeq lists it as uncharacterized. The record is from RefSeq and is a predicted model, not a curated record. Lineage: Eukaryota; Metazoa; Chordata; Actinopteri; Cypriniformes; Cobitidae.
AUAGCAGUCAGUUCUGGCCCGAUUCUGGCUUUUUUCCGCCAGUGUCGGCUGAAAGCCGGACAGAUUUUUAGUGUAUGCGCCAGAACUGGCCCAGAUGAGGAAAUAGUAUACCAGUAGUAAACACAAUUUAUAGCUGUUGGCCCGAGUGUAAGCAUACUCAGCUGAAGUCCGGGUCUACUAAAGUAGUGUCUCAGUGUAAUCGGGCCGAAUCUGGCAUUGUGUAGUCGGACCGACUACAUUGCAUUGUGCCUGGACCGAUUAUGGUUUGAUAUGAUACUGCCAAGAUGUGUAUGAUGUCAGAAAUUCAGUAUGUGGCCCGAUGCCAGUGCAACUGACACAUGCCGGUUGUAACGCUGUUUGGUGGCAAUUUAAAAAUGUUUAUGCUUCAGACGGACAGUAUACAGUACACGGCCCGAUUCCGUGAUGUGGCAAUCAGCCCUCUAGCUGUUGAACGGCAACAUCACGACUGCUGUUAUGAUUUGAAUCAAGCAGAGCACAAAGCUGAGCUCCCGUUCGACACAGACACCAUCAUCAAUAACUGGUUAACUGGUUGGGGCUUAUUGGCGGGACAGAUGUACGAGACUGCACAUGGCAUUGAAGAGGGCGACUGACAAAUCCCUGGCUUAAAACCUCAACUGGAUGGAAAAGACUUUAUUUGCCACCCUCCAACUCAGAGAGGUAGUGAUUGAUGCAGUUCGGAGAAGGUCCCUUACAGUUGUGGAGGUGACAAUGAAGAGGUGGCUCGAUCGAGAGGGUGGGUGCAAGAGACAACUUUAGCCAAAGAAAAGCAGUUUGUGUUAGCGCCUGUGUUUGUGUCUGCAAAGGAGAAUGUUUUGUUCUGUAAAAAGAGUGGUGGUGUUUUGGUUAAAUGUGUUUAACUUGUUUUAAUUACUUGGUUUGUGUGUGAGAGGUGUGUGUGCGGGUGGGUUGGUAUAUGUGGUUUAUGGGGAAUAGUGUAUAAUGACAUGUUUAAUAUGCUAUAAACGUGCUUUAAAGGGACACAAUACUAAGUGAUACUUUUUCAUAGAUUAAAGACUUCCAACGGAUUUUUGUUAUGGUUGGGCUUAGGGAAUGGGGUAAGUUAAGGCAAUAGAAUAUACAGUUUGUACAGUAUAAAAUGCAUUGUGUCUAUGAAAUUGUCCCGGUAAACCACAUAUGCCAACGUGAGUGUGUGGUGUGUGUGAGAGAGAGAAUUUUUUUCUUUAAAUGUUAAUUAAUUUGUUUUACAUGUUGUCUCGCUGUAAUUGCUUAAGGGGAUAGUUCACCCCAAAAUUGCAAUUUUAUCAUAAAUCACUUCCCCUCUGUCGUUCUAAACCAACAAGUGCUUAGAUUGUCUUUAGAACACGUUUUUAGAUAUUUUUGAUGAAAACUGGGAGGCUUCUGUCCGUCCCAUUGAUUUCAGUUAGUUUUACAAUCCGUUUCACAGAAAAGAAUGAAAGACAUUGCCAAAAAGUUCAGUGUUCCAUCAGUAUUUCAAUGAUAAUUUUUUUCAACAGUUUGUUCUUCUCCUUGGUCGUUCAAAGCCUGUUAACGACCAGACUACGGCGCAUCAUGCUGACGUCACCUGCUGCUGACGUCACCUGCUGACGUAGUUGCCAGCGUACAGACAGAAUAGGCUGCCAAGUAAUUUGUACAUUUAUUUGGGCUGUUUAAGUGUUGUUACAAUGUUUGCAUUAUGCUUUAAAAAAAGAGCGUAGAAAAAAAACAUUGGUAACCAAAUCAGCAAGUGACAUGAGCUGCAGGUGAUGUCAGCAGCAUCGCCGUAGUCUGGUCUUGAAUACACUUUCAACAACUAAGGAGGAGAACAAAUUGUUGAAAUCGUUCGUUUUAUUUUCUUUGUGCACAAAGUGUUCUUGUCACUUCAUAAUAUUAUUAUUAAACUACUAAUGGAACAUGGACCUUUUUGGCGAUGUCUUUCAUUCUUUUCUGGGAAACGGAUUGUGAGACUAACUUAAGUCAAUGGGACAGACAAAAGCCUCCCGGUUUUCAUAAAAAAAUUCUAAAAAUGUAUUCUGAAGACAAUCAGAGCACUUGGUUGUUUAGAACGACACAGGGGUAAGUGGUUUAUGAGAAAAUUAUAAUUUUAAGGGUGAACUAUCCCUUUAAAAUUGUUUAUAAAGUGGGUUAUGUGCUUGUAAAAUGUGUUGUGUAAGAGAUAUAUGUCUGUUUGUAUGUGUUGGGUUUUUGUAAAGUGUACUGAAUUUGUUAAGAAUUAAUAUGUUCAAAAUUACA